This 63-nucleotide transfer RNA is filed under the name Nephotettix nigropictus. RNAcentral's name for it is "tRNA-Thr". Lineage: Eukaryota; Metazoa; Arthropoda; Insecta; Hemiptera; Cicadellidae. The record is from RNAcentral.
GUUUUAGUAAUUUAAUAAAAAUAUUAGUUUUGUAAACUAAAAAUAGGAAUAACCUUUAAAACU